GAUGAACGCUGGCGGCGUGCCUAAUACAUGCAAGUCGAGCGAACAGACGAGGAGCUUGCUCCUUUGACGUUAGCGGCGGACGGGUGAGUAACACGUAGGUAACCUACCUAUAAGACUGGGAUAACUUCGGGAAACCGGAGCUAAUACCGGAUAAUAUUUCGAACCGCAUGGUUCGAUAGUGAAAGAUGGCUUUGCUAUCACUUAUAGAUGGACCUGCGCCGUAUUAGCUAGUUGGUAAGGUAACGGCUUACCAAGGCAACGAUACGUAGCCGACCUGAGAGGGUGAUCGGCCACACUGGAACUGAGACACGGUCCAGACUCCUACGGGAGGCAGCAGUAGGGAAUCUGCCGCAAUGGGCGAAAGCCUGACGGAGCAACGCCGCGGGAGUGAUGAAGGUCUGCGGAUCGUAAAACUCUGUUAUUAGGGAAGAACAAACGUGUAAGUAACUGUGCACGUCUGGACGGUACCUAAUCAGAAAGCCACGGCGAACUACGU
This 496-nucleotide ribosomal RNA is filed under the name uncultured bacterium. RNAcentral describes it as "partial 16S ribosomal RNA". It matches the Rfam family "Bacterial small subunit ribosomal RNA", at positions 28 to 506 of the family's 1533-position model. The record is from RNAcentral.